RNAcentral lists this ribosomal RNA (365 nucleotides) under uncultured eukaryote. RNAcentral's name for it is "partial 18S ribosomal RNA". It matches the Rfam family "Eukaryotic small subunit ribosomal RNA", at positions 592 to 975 of the family's 1831-position model. The record is from RNAcentral.
CAAUAGCGUAUAUUAACGUUGUUGCAGUUAAAAAGCUCGUAGUUGGAUUUCUGGAGGGAGCGUCGGCCCGUAUUUACGAGUGCGUGACGUCUCUGUCCAUCCUUGCGGGAAGGCACGGCAUUGAUUUGUUGUGUCGGAUCGCAUCAUUUACUGUGAAAAAAUUAGAGUGUUCAAAGCAGGCUUUCGCUUGAAUACAUUAGCAUGGAAUAAUAAGAUAGGACUUUGGUGCUAUUUUGUUGGUUGAGCCUAAAGUAAUGAUUAAUGGGGAUAGUUGGGGGCACCUGUAUUGCGUUGUCAGAGGUGAAAUUCUUGGAUUUACGCAAGACAAACAGCUGCGAAAGCGUCUGCCAAGGAUGUUUUCAUUA